UACGUAGGGUGCAAGCGUUAAUCGGAAUUACUGGGCGUAAAGCGUGCGCAGGCGGCUUUGCAAGACAGAUGUGAAAUCCCCGGGCUUAACCUGGGAACUGCAUUUGUGACUGCAUGGCUGGAGUGCGGCAGAGGGGAUGGAAUUCCGGCGUGUAGCAGUGAAAUGCGUAGAUAUGCGGAGGAACACCGAUGGCGAAGGCAAUCCCCUGGGCCUGCACUGACGCUCAUGCACGAAAGCGUGGGGAGCGAAACAAGG
This 255-nucleotide ribosomal RNA is filed under the name uncultured bacterium. RNAcentral's name for it is "partial 16S ribosomal RNA". It matches the Rfam family "Bacterial small subunit ribosomal RNA", at positions 524 to 777 of the family's 1533-position model. The record is from RNAcentral.